Molecule: transfer RNA, 74 nt
Filed under: Candidatus Babelota bacterium
Lineage: Bacteria
Description: Candidatus Dependentiae bacterium tRNA-Arg
Rfam family: tRNA
About the family: Transfer RNA (tRNA) molecules are approximately 80 nucleotides in length. Their secondary structure includes four short double-helical elements and three loops (D, anti-codon, and T loops). Further hydrogen bonds mediate the characteristic L-shaped molecular structure. tRNAs have two regions of fundamental functional importance: the anti-codon, which is responsible for specific mRNA codon recognition, and the 3' end, to which the tRNAs corresponding amino acid is attached (by aminoacyl-tRNA synthetases). tRNAs cope with the degeneracy of the genetic code in two manners: having more than one tRNA (with a specific anti-codon) for a particular amino acid; and 'wobble' base-pairing, i.e. permitting non-standard base-pairing at the 3rd anti-codon position.
Source: RNAcentral
KUGCUCGUAGCUCAGUUGGAUAGAGCAACGGAUUUCUAAUCCGUAGGUCGCAGGUUCGAGUCCUGCCGAGCACA